This 427-nucleotide ribosomal RNA is filed under the name uncultured bacterium. RNAcentral describes it as "partial 16S ribosomal RNA". It matches the Rfam family "Bacterial small subunit ribosomal RNA", at positions 355 to 774 of the family's 1533-position model. The record is from RNAcentral.
UGGGGAAUAUUGGACAAUGGGCGAAAGCCUGAUCCAGCCAUGCCGCGUGUGUGAAGAAGGUCUUCGGAUUGUAAAGCACUUUAAGUUGGGAGGAAGGGCAUUAACCUAAUACGUUAGUGUUUUGACGUUACCGACAGAAUAAGCACCGGCUAACUCUGUGCCAGCAGCCGCGGUAAUACAGAGGGUGCAAGCGUUAAUCGGAAUUACUGGGCGUAAAGCGCGCGUAGGUGGAUUGUUAAGUUGGAUGUGAAAGCCCCGGGCUCAACCUGGGAACUGCAUCCAAAACUGGCAAGCUAGAGUACGGUAGAGGGUGGUGGAAUUUCCUGUGUAGCGGUGAAAUGCGUAGAUAUAGGAAGGAACACCAGUGGCGAAGGCGACCACCUGGACUGAUACUGACACUGAGGUGCGAAAGCGUGGGGAGCAAACA